CUUCAUUUUACUAAACUGCCUGCUCAUGGGCAGAUGUAGAAGCCCAUAUACGGGUUUUAAUGCUUUAGUUCACUUGAGCCUUGUUGAGAUGCUGGAACGUCCUGUUGGGGUUGGACAAAUCUUUAUCCCUUUUCCCAUCUGAUACUAGCUUACAUAAGAGCUUCGCUUGAAUAUUAAAAUAAUUAAUUAUCUUCCAAGUAUCAUUCGGCCACGGAACAAUGAAUUACUAGAUAUUUGUCUAGUUCCUUCCAGAAUUGAGUGCUUGAGGACCUUUGGUGUUAUAAACCUAGCCAUGGUGGUGGAAGACCCUUGUGGGAGUAUGUCAAAUUACAUUUGG
RNAcentral lists this unclassified non-coding RNA (337 nucleotides) under Hevea brasiliensis (rubber tree). Lineage: Eukaryota; Viridiplantae; Streptophyta; Magnoliopsida; Malpighiales; Euphorbiaceae. The record is from RNAcentral.